Molecule: ribosomal RNA, 429 nt
Filed under: Chloroflexota bacterium
Lineage: Bacteria; Bacillati; Chloroflexota
Description: Chloroflexi bacterium partial 16S ribosomal RNA
Rfam family: Bacterial small subunit ribosomal RNA
Source: RNAcentral
UGGGGAAUAUUGCACAAUGGGCGCAAGCCUGAUGCAGUCAUGCCGCGUGUAUGAAGAAGGCCUUCGGGUUGUAAAGUACUUUCAGUCGGGAGGAAGGUGGUAAGGUUAAUAACCUUAUCAAUUGACGUUACCCGCAGAAGAAGCACCGGCUAACUCCGUGCCAGCAGCCGCGGUAAUACGGAGGGUGCAAGCGUUAAUCGGAAUUACUGGGCGUAAAGCGCACGCAGGCGGUUUGUUAAGUCAGAUGUGAAAUCCCCGGGCUCAACCUGGGAACUGCAUCUGAUACUGGCAAGCUUGAGUCUCGUAGAGGGGGGUAGAAUUCCAGGUGUAGCGGUGAAAUGCGUAGAGAUCUGGAGGAAUACCGGUGGCGAAGGCGGCCCCCUGGACGAAGACUGACGCUCAGGUGCGAAAGCGUGGGGAGCGAACAGG